AUGGCUGUGGGACAAGGGGCAAGACACAAGCAGACAAAUAAGACCAACUCAGCACACUUGAUUAGGCUGUGGUUUAAUAAAACAAAGCAACCACAACUAACCUGCACCAAACCUCUGAGAGACAGCAAAGUCCAUAAACUGUGAACCUUGCCAUUGUCAAAGGAUGUGGAAUUGUGGGAAAUACAAAAUACAUUGCUUACAAUUCUCUGACUGAUGAAGGACAUGCACUCAGAUGUCUUCAGAAUCAGAGAAUUAUGGAUGGUUGGAACUUGGGGGGGCCCUUGGAUUGUAUCUAUUUCAGCUUCCUCAUUUUUAAAGCUUGAUAAUCUGGGGGUUGGAAAGGGGAAAAUAGUUUGCCUAAGGUAAGAGUUCAAAUUACUGAUAGAGCUUAUAGCUGUGACUUCUAACCUAAAUAUUUUUCUUCUCUUGUGUUUCCAUAUGCGCUAAAAGUUUCACAUAGUUGUGUCCACUUUAGGAAACCCGGAAUUCAUUUAUUGCAUAUGAUGAAGUCAAGGUUGCUAAGUGAUAUACCAAGGAUACUCAAUUUUGUCCCUUUCCAGAAGGAACUACUAAGAUUAUGGUGAGCUGUAGGUUUCAGAUGUAUAUAAAACAAUAUAACAAUAUUAGGCCUUUCAUCUAGACUACAGUUUAUCAGCAGUUUCCUUUCUAGGAAUCAGUCAUAGCUAUAGGCCCUACAGGGACUCUUCUGCAGUGCCUUCACCUCCAGAUAUAUCCAAAGUUGUUUCUAGUGCAUCCUUAAAUUGCAGUGACUCAUAGCAACAAUUGUUUACUGAGCCCUCCUGACUGGCCAUGGGAUGACAGUAGUUAACAACAGGUCAGACAUGGUCUCUGUUGUCAUGGAGCUUAUGCCAAAGUGGCGAAUGACAGUCACUAAGCAUGUCUAUUACAAGUAUAAUUAAUUUAACAAGGAAGACAAAUUAGUCCUUCAUGUGUUCCAGAAGGCAAGGCCCCUAGUGUGGUUGGUCUGGUGGAGCUGAACUGCAAAACUGUGUGGAGAUGCUUAUGUGCUAGACACCAAUUGUUUUAUCCCUCCAGUAUAUCCCCUUUUUUCCUCUUAAGUCCGUGAUUUCUGAAGGAGUUGCUGUGUCUUACAUCAGUGCUUUUCAAACUACUUAAAAAUUUAAAUUUCUAAUCUGUCACAAAUUGACAUCCUGACAAAAUACAAAAUCACCUGCUUGAGUGUCACAGGCAUGUCAAAUUGUUAUAAAUGUUUAGAAAUAUUUAUUCUUGAUUUCGGUACCAGAACUCUUCAGGUGGGUAACACAUAGUUUGUGGGCCAGCUUGGUACACAGGCCCUACUUUGAGUAGUAAUAUUGACCUUGAUCUCUCAGGCCCAGACUUUACACCUGGUGCCCUUGACCAUGGCAAAUUAAUCCAGCAUGGGCAUCUGAGUCAAACUGGGCAGAUGAGACCCUUAUACAGAAUGUUUGUGCUGGACACAGAGAGCAUCAGGCCAGUCUCUCUCCAGGGGCUGAAAGUGUAAGAUGCUGUCCUUGGGAGUCCGUGGUUUCCUUCAGGUGGUGAGCUGCUGUAUAAUGGCAAGCAGAUGAAACCCAACAGUGAGGUAGAGAGCCCUGACAGUGUUUGAGCUCCUGACUCCAGCUUUUCCUAUGGUCCACAUACAUUCCUUCCUUAGGUUUCAGGUGCUAUCCCAGCACCAUUGUUAUUAUUAUUAUUUUUAAAUCCCUACCUGUUUGAACUAAUUCAGGUUGGGGUUCUGUUACUUGAAAUCAAGUGGUUCUAACUUAUGGAAGAUGGUUUCAUCAGUGUCUAGACAUGCUAACCUUUAAAGUCUUAUUGUUUUUGGAGAGUUUCCACCCCUCCAGGUUCGAAGCCAUUACCAGAGUGCUGCUGAAGCCCCUUGCAGAUGUGAGGGGACCUCUCAUGCCAAGUCUUAUGGCUGCAAAGACAUCGCAUUCCACAGUGUGGUGUCAGAGAAGAGUCCUGGGAGAGAACUCUCUCCAGUCACCUUGGGAAGAUUUCCCUCUCCUACAACAGCUAACAUCAGUGGAGCUGCCAGCAUAUUCACUCUAAGGACACAACAAAAGGCACUAUCUUUGAAGAGCGUGAACCCUUACCAGAUGGAAUCUGCUGACACCUUGAUCUUGGACUUCCCAGCCUCCAGAACUGUGAGAAUAAAUUUCUGUUGUUUAUACAUUACCCAACCUAAGAUAAUCUUCUUAUAGCAGCAGGAACCAUCUAAGACAUCCUCUAAGGUGAGAUGCAACUACAACUCUGAUGAUGUGUCUCCCCACCAUGAAAUGAUGCUGCACCACUGACUAGGCCAUCCUAGGGCAUGAUGCUUUGUGGUAGCUGCCUCUGCCAUCUAAAUGGGGACCACUACAGCCACAAGCUGAGCAGGCAUUCUGGUUCCUAGCUUUUCUCAUUGAGAAAUCAGGGCAAGCAGCCUCAUUUACCUAAGUUGCAGGUUCUCUUGAGCUGUGUAGGCCCAUUCUCAGCUCCCUGUGGUGUCUUCUUCAUAUGUACAAUAACGUGUAAACAUUUAGAUGUUUGUCUACAUAUUUGAAGAGGCAUGCUGAUGCUGAAAUAUUUUUCUCUUUUGAAGAGAGGGAAAGCAGCUUGACUGAAAACCAAUAGACUCCCCAACUUUAUAACUAACUUAUAAUCACUUCACCUUCUAGGGCUGGUUUCCUCUACCAGAAAAUGGGGAAAGACAAACUGGUUUCGCAACCAGUGAAACCAUUCAGCCAAUAGCGAGAAAUAAACAGACAAGCUCCUUUAAAAAUGAUACUUAUGAGAAGUCUCAUUUUUUUCCCUUAUGGAUUUUUGAUUUAGAUUUUGUGAAGGUUUUGUGAAACUGUUCUCUGGUUAAAUGUGGUUUGGUUUAAAACUUCAUUCCUGUGUCUGUAAAUAUGAUUUAUAGGUUGAUAGGAAACUCUGUAACUCUCCAGUGGCUGUUGUUUUUACACACUGAAGCAGAAAGGGGAAAAUGUAGAUAGUCAUAUAAAAAAAAA
Molecule: long non-coding RNA, 2996 nt
Filed under: Homo sapiens (human)
Lineage: Eukaryota; Metazoa; Chordata; Mammalia; Primates; Hominidae
Description: HSALNT0314918
Source: RNAcentral